Molecule: ribosomal RNA, 469 nt
Filed under: uncultured bacterium
Lineage: Bacteria
Description: bacterial SSU rRNA
Rfam family: Bacterial small subunit ribosomal RNA
Source: RNAcentral
CCUACCACAUGCAAGUCGAACGGUAGCACAAAGAGCUUGCUCUCGGGUGACGAGUGGCGGACGGGUGAGUAAUGUCUGGAAAACUACCUGAUGGAGGGGGAUAACUACUGGAAACGGUAGCUAAUACCGCAUAACGUCCCAAGACCAAAGAGGGGGACCUUCGGGCCUCUUGCCAUCAAAUGUGCCCAGAUGGGAUUAGCUAGUAGGUGGGGUAACGGCUCACCUAGGCAACAAUCCCUAGCUGGUCUGAGAGGAUGACCAGCCACACUGGAACUGAAACACGGUCCAAACUCCUACGGGAGGCAGCAGUGGGGAAUAUUGCACAAUGGGCGCAAGCCUGAUGCACCCAUGCCGCGUGUAUGAAAAAGGCCUUCGGGUUGUAAAGUACUUUCAGCGGGGAGGAAGGCGUUGUGGUUAAUAACCACAGCGAUUGACGUUACCCGCAAAAAAAGCACCGGCUAACUCCGUG